RNAcentral lists this transfer RNA (86 nucleotides) under Synergistaceae bacterium. RNAcentral describes it as "tRNA-Leu". It matches the Rfam family "tRNA". Rfam says of the family: Transfer RNA (tRNA) molecules are approximately 80 nucleotides in length. Their secondary structure includes four short double-helical elements and three loops (D, anti-codon, and T loops). Lineage: Bacteria; Thermotogati; Synergistota; Synergistia; Synergistales; Synergistaceae. The record is from RNAcentral.
GCCGGGGUGGCGGAAUGGUAGACGCAGUGGACUCAAAAUCCACCGUGGGCGACCACAUGGGGGUUCGAGUCCCCCCCCCGGCACCA